RNAcentral lists this long non-coding RNA (812 nucleotides) under Heterocephalus glaber (naked mole-rat). RNAcentral's name for it is "lncRNA (ENSHGLG00100039217.1)". Lineage: Eukaryota; Metazoa; Chordata; Mammalia; Rodentia; Bathyergidae. The record is from RNAcentral.
CAUGGCAAGACCAUCGAGAGAGAGAGAGAGAGAGAGAGAGAGAGAGAGAGAGAGAGAAAGGAAGGUUACUUCUAGGGAGUAACCUACUUAGGAUAAAAGCUUUUGGGAUUCUAAAAAUCUUUCUUCCUUAGGCCCUGAACUCAAACUUUUUUACCCCUCACCCAAAACCCCUAAGGCAAUUGAAAGCUAGUUUAUUUCCCAAUCUCUACUACUUCUGUACUUUCUGAAAGUCAGUUGCCUCAAAAGGAAAAAUGGCACCAAGUUAUGCACUAAACAUUGUUGGAUUUAGGUUCCUUGGACUUACAGAAUUUUAGUUGUUCCAGAAAAAGUAGCCUCUGUGAUGUCUACCUCAGGUGUGACCCAUGGAAGAUAAUGAAAUAGGAAGAUCUUACAAAGCCAGAAACUAACAGGUUAAUUGACCAAGGGCUUAGAAUUGUUGCUAUGAUUAUCCAACAGAAUUUGAUAUGUUUCAUGGAGCAGUGACCACUGUGUUUUUCAUUUUCUCCUUUACAGGCAUUUUACCAAUAUCCUGUUCCUUGUCCGCUAGGCAAUACUUAAUAGGCAGUACUGAAAUACUGACAUGGGGAUGGAGAUAGAGUCUCAUGACAAAAAUAGAGGUGAACGUGUUGUGGAAAAUAUAAAGAUGGAAGUCAGAAGCUGAGAAAGCUGAGACAGAAAGAUAAGAAACUUGGUUCAUUCAUGACAUCCUGAAGUUGCUGCAGAAGUCCUAGAAUGACUACAUCUGGACUUAAAUGUCAAAAAUAAAUACCUGUUUAAACAGUUUUUUGGCUUUAUAGCUGAACAUAGGCUUG